This is a long non-coding RNA of Rhipicephalus microplus (southern cattle tick), 208 nucleotides long. The record is from RefSeq and is a predicted model, not a curated record. Lineage: Eukaryota; Metazoa; Arthropoda; Arachnida; Ixodida; Ixodidae.
AGCGAAUAAUCUUCUCACUCAUCAGUGUGGGGCUCGACACUAUGGUCGACGAGAUAAGGAGGAUGCGGCGCCACCCUGAGAGCAUGGGUAUCACCAUGUGAGACAGCUGUGACUCAAAUGAGAUGAAGUGAUACAUCGUGGUUAUGACAAGGCUUGUAGUAGUGAGAACUGUAAAGAAAAUGUAUGAUAAAGUUUUUUUUACUAUGUU